Molecule: non-coding RNA, 29 nt
Filed under: Mus musculus (house mouse)
Lineage: Eukaryota; Metazoa; Chordata; Mammalia; Rodentia; Muridae
Source: RNAcentral
UUCAAAGAGAAUUAUUUUCUCUCUCUGGA